Molecule: long non-coding RNA, 614 nt
Organism: Thalassophryne amazonica
Lineage: Eukaryota; Metazoa; Chordata; Actinopteri; Batrachoidiformes; Batrachoididae
Exons: 3
Source: RefSeq, a predicted model, not a curated record
CCUCCAUCGACCCUAAGAUCUUCACCUCAACCACCUCCAUCCACCCUCAGGGUUAUGCAGACACCUCUGCCGCCUCCAUCCACCCUCGGGUCUUCAACUCCACCGUCUCUGGAUAACCAUAGAUGGCCCAUUGUUUCUGCCUGUCACGAUGUCACCAUUUCACCACAUACUCCUCAAACAGAAAUUAGGGACAGCAUGUUUGCUCGCCUCAUAACGCUCAUUGAGGAGGUGAAAGAGACUGAGAAAAUCCAAGGGAGGAUCCUACAAACACUACUACGACAGCAUGGCAACGUUGGGACUACAGUUGUUUCUAUUCCAGAAGGAUUCCCCCUAAAGGCAAUUUGUGAUGUUGAAAUCAUGGAAGAAAAGCUGGCAAACCCAAGUUUCAUGUCCAAAGUGGUUGCAGCUGUGGCUGACAUGGGGUGGGCAACUGUUGACGAGGCCACAAGAAGAAUGAUGACCUUCCUCCUAGACCAUGGCCUAGCCAGGUAGUAUAACUUCGAGGCUUGAAGAAAAACUCCUUGACAAGCCACAUCACCCGUAAAGAUGUUGAGAAGGCCGUGUCUAAGUGGCUCAUAGGUGCUCGGGAUCGGGGGGUAAUAGACAGGCCCGAC